CCCUUCGGGGUACUCGAGUGGCGAACGGGUGAGUAACACGUGGGUGAUCUGCCCUGCACUUUGGGAUAAGCCUGGGAAACUGGGUCUAAUACCGGAUAGGACUACGGCCUGCAUGGGUUGUGGUGGAAAGCUUUUGCGGUGUGGGAUGGGCCCGCGGCCUAUCAGCUUGUUGGUGGGGUGAUGGCCUACCAAGGCGACGACGGGUAGCCGGCCUGAGAGGGUGACCGGCCACACUGGGACUGAGAUACGGCCCAGACUCCUACGGGAGGCAGCAGUGGGGAAUAUUGCACAAUGGGCGCAAGCCUGAUGCAGCGACGCCGCGUGGGGGAUGACGGCUUCGGGUUGUAAACCUCUUUCAGUAGGGACGAAGCGUAAGUGACGGUACCUAUAGA
RNAcentral lists this ribosomal RNA (392 nucleotides) under uncultured bacterium. RNAcentral's name for it is "bacterial SSU rRNA". It matches the Rfam family "Bacterial small subunit ribosomal RNA", at positions 76 to 485 of the family's 1533-position model. The record is from RNAcentral.